RNAcentral lists this ribosomal RNA (465 nucleotides) under uncultured bacterium. RNAcentral's name for it is "partial 16S ribosomal RNA". It matches the Rfam family "Bacterial small subunit ribosomal RNA", at positions 28 to 507 of the family's 1533-position model. The record is from RNAcentral.
GACGAACGCUGGCGGCGUGCUUAACACAUGCAAGUCGAACGGAAAGGCCCUGCUUGCAGGGUACUCGAGUGGCGAACGGGUGAGUAACACGUGGGUGAUCUGCCCUGCACUUCGGGAUAAGCCUGGGAAACUGGGUCUAAUACCGGAUAGGAGCCAUUUUUAGUGUGAUGGUUGGAAAGUUUUUUCGGUGUAGGAUGAGCUCGCGGCCUAUCAGCUUGUUGGUGGGGUAAUGGCCUACCAAGGCGGCGACGGGUAGCCGGCCUGAGAGGGUGGACGGCCACAUUGGGACUGAGAUGCGGCCGAGACGCCUACGGGAGGCAGCAGGGGGGAAUAUUGCACAAGGGGCGCAAGCCUGAUGCAGCGACGCCGCGUGGGGGAUGACGGCCUUCGGGUUGUAGACUCCUUUCGCUAGGGACGAAGCUUUUUGUGACGGUACCUAGAGAAGAAGCACCGGCUAACUACGUG